CACAGAUUUAUUUGGCUAUUGAGAGUAGCAUGUUGGAAAGUUUGCGAUGACUGCCCUCUAGUGGUAAAAUCAAGAAUGUACACCGCAAUAUAAUCCAGAAAAUACAGGACAUACAACUAUAUCUGAUGUCAUCUAAACAUUUAUUCUCUUAAUACAGUCUAAAGAAAUCAUUAGGAAAUCAAAUGACAUAUGCACAGAGUGAUACAGACAUUUGUGGCCCUAUGGCCGUUCCCACAAUCAGAGGAGGGACAAGUAUGUAGUAGUCAUGCGUCUCACACAGAAUGUAUUUUCUCCAUUUCAGAUCAGAACAGAAAAGUAAAAGGUUAUUAACUUCAGUUAGACUGUAGACAGAGACUGAGGAAAUGAAAGGAGACUGAUACCCACAGCCACAGGCACCCAUACAGUACUGUUCAUCCCAAUGGCAUACCUCCGGUUCUUUAAUCAUCUCAAAAAAUAUAUAUCUGUGACAAAUUUCUAUCCAUCUGAAUGACAUGACUUCAACGAGUGAUUAGAUUCUACAGUAGAACAUCUCAGACCUCAAUCAAAUUCAUGAUUCGAUGAACAACCAUGAUCAGCUUUUGUAAAUACACUAAACAAAAAUAGAAAUGCAGCACGCAACAAUUUCUAUGAUUUUACAGAGUUACAGUUCAUAUAAGGAAAUCAGUCAAUUGAAAUAAAGUAUUUAGGCCCUAAUCUAUUUAUUUUACAUGACCGAGAAUACAGAUACCUAAAAAAGUAGCGGAGUGGAUCAGAAAACCAGUGUGACCAUUAUUUGCCUCGUGCAGCGUGACACAUCUCCUUUGCAUAGAGUUGAUCAGGCUGUUGAUUGUGGCCUGUGAAAUGUUGUCCCACUCCUCUUCAAUGGCUGUGCAAAGUUGCUGGAUAUUGGCGAGAACUGGAACACACUGUGGUGCACGUCAAUCCAGAGCAUCCCAAACAUGGUCAACGGGUGACAUGUCUGGUGAGUAUGCAGGUCAUGUAAGAACUGGGACAUUUCCAACUUCCAGGAAUUGUGUACAGAUCGUUGCGUCAUGGAGCUGUUCAUUAUCAUGCUGAAACAUGAGGUGAUGGCAGCGGAUGAAUGGCACGACAAUGGGCCUCAGGAUCUCGUCACGGUAUCUCUGUGCAUUCAAAUUGCCAUAGAUAAAAUGCACUUGUUUCCGUUGUCCGUAGCUUAUGCCUGCCCAUACUAUAACACCGCCGCCACCUGCCCAUACCAUAAUCCCACCGCCAUACCAUAACCCUCCAACAUUGACAUCAGCAAACCACACGCCAAAUUCUCUAAAACAAUGUUGGAGGCGGCUUAUGGUUGAGAAAUUAAACAUCGAAUUCUCUGGAAACAGCUCUGGUGGUCAUUCCUGCAGUCCGCAUGCCAAUUGCACGCUCCCUCAAAACUUGAGACAUCACAUUGCGUUGUGUGACAACACUGCACAUUUUAGUGUGGCCUUUUAUUGUCCCUAGCACAAGGUGCACCUGUGUAAUGACCAUGCUGUUUAAUCAUCUUCUUGAUAUGCCACACCUGCCAGGUGGAUGGAUUAUCUUGCCAAAAGAGAAAUGCUCACUAACAGGGAUGUAAAACAAAUUUCUGCACCAAAUUAGAGAGAUAUGAUUUUUUUAUGUGAAUGGAACAUUUCCGGGAUCUUUCAUUUCAACUCAUGAAACAUGGGACCAACACUUUACAUUUUGCAUUUAUAUUUUUGUUCAGUGUAUAACGACAAAGGACUGAAAUAUCAAAGUCUUUGGUAUGGACCUCUUUUUAUCCUAUUUGGCUUGAUAAAGGAUCCUGUAAAAUGGCUUAGCUUUAUUACCAUGAAUGCACUUGAUAUCAGACAGGUUGUCAGAUCCAUUAGGCCAACCUUUGACCUUUUUGACACUUGUCACAUACAGAAUAAUCUUGGAAACCCAGAAUUACAAUCUUGCAUAAUUGAGUUAGAUACUCAAUUCUUUUCUGGGGGAAGAUGUGUUUGAAAAGAGACUCGAGCAAGCAGCGGAGGCAGGGCAGUAGCUCCACCCGCCUUUGCAAGUUACAGGCAAGUCUAUGGGCCAAAUGUCCCUUCCCCUUCCGAAAUUCGAAAGAUGCGAAAUCGUGAUUUGUCCAAAAUUAUCAGUGAUGAAAAAUCACUGAUCAAGUUCCUUGAUAGUCGUCGCAUCCCACAGUCUGUUGACAGACACUACAAUACCAGCUAUAUUACGUGCAUCUGUCCAUGAGAGAUUACACACAGAACAGUGGGGAUUUAGAGAUAAUUGAUUAGAGAUAAUUUUGAUAGAGGUGACAGUUAGAGGUGAUUCGACAAUCACAGUGAGUAUUGUGUAGGCUAUAAGGAACUGUCCAUCGAAGCACAAUGUCAAACUGGGCCACACAACUUCCCACAUUUAGGCUGAUGCUCUACUGUAGCCUUCCAUUUCAAAUUACUUUGGGCAGCGAGCGGUUAUGAACGUUUGUGUCACAAGCAGGCAGUGUUUGACGAUGUCAUUAGCUCUGGCCACUAUAAUCUCUCUGCAGGUAAGCAUUCUUUGAUUGGCAGCCACAGUGGCCCAUCAUCUUGUUCUCUCACUGAUUGACAGUCACAGCGGCCCAUCUUGUUCUCUCUCUGAUUGGCAGGCACAGUGGCCUAUCAUCUGCUCCUCUCUCAGGAGAAGAUUGGGGAGGGGCGGGGCUUACAUGUCUGUCUGGAACAGGAACUUCCUCUAGUAACGCCACAGGAGCCAGACCUCGUCUGCCAUUCACCUGAAACACAUAGUCACUCAGUAAGCUAUCUACAGUACAGCUGCACUCAUCUGUUUAGAUAGCAGUCUGCCAGAUAGUAGUCUGUAAGAUAGUCGUCUGUUAGGAUAGCAGUCUGUUAGGAUAGCAGUCUGUUAGGAUAGCAGUCUGUUAGGAUAGCAGUCUGUUAGGAUAGCAGUCUGUUAGGAUAGCAGUCUGUUAGGAUAGCAGUCUGUUAGGAUAGCAGGCUGUUAGGAUAGCAGUCUGUUAGGAUAGCAGUCUGUUAGGAUAGCAGUCUGUUAGGAUAGCAGUCUGUUAGGAUAGCAGUCUGUUAGGAUAGCAGGCUGUUAGUAUAGCAGGCUGUUAGGAUAGCAGGCUGUUAGGAUAGCAGGCUGUUAGGAUAGCAGGCUGUUAGGAUAGCAGGCUGUUAGGAUAGCAGGCUGAUAGGAUAGCAGUCGGUUUGGAUAGCAGUCGGUUUGGAUAGCAGUCUGGUUAGAUAGCAGUCUGGUUAGAUAGCAGGCUGUUAGGAUAGCAGGCUGUUAGGAUAGCAGUCGGUUUGGAUAGCAGUCGGUUUGGAUAGCAGGCUGUUAGGAUAGCAGGCUGUUAGGAUAGCAGUCGGUUUGGAUAGAGUCGGUUUGGAUAGCAGUCGGUUUGGAUAGCAGUCUGGUUAGAUAGCAGUCUGGUUAGAUAGCAGUCGGUUUGGAUAGCAGUCGGGUUAGAUAGCAGUCGGGUUAGAUAGCAGUCGGUUAGAUAGCAGUCGGUUAGAUAGCAGUCUGUUAGAUAGCAGUCUGUUAGAUAGCAGUCGGUUAGAUAGCAGUCGGUUAGAUAGCAGUCGGUUAGAUAGCAGUCUGUUAGAUAGCAGUCUGUUUAGAAAGUCUGUUAGAUAGCAGUCUGUUAGAUAGCAGUCGGGUUAGAUAGCAGUCGGGUUAGAUAGCAGUCGGGUUAGAUAGCAGUCGGUUAGAUAGCAGUCGGUUAGAUAGCAGUCGGUUAGAUAGCAGUCUGUUAGAUAGCAGUCUGUUUAGAAACAGUCUGUUUAGAAAGUCUGUUAGAUAGAAGUCUGUUAGAUAGCACUCUGUUAGAUAGCAGUCUGUUAGAUAGCAGUCUGUUAGAUAGCAGUCUGUUAGAUAGCACUGUUAGAUAGCAGUCUGUUUAGAAAGUCUGUUAGAUAGCAGUCUGUUUAGAAAGUCUGUUAGAUAGUAGUCUGUUAGAUAGCACUGUUAGAUAGUAGUCUGUUUAGAAAGUCUGUUAGAUAGUAGUCUGUUUAGAAAGU
Oncorhynchus tshawytscha (Chinook salmon) is the source of this 3974-nucleotide long non-coding RNA. The record is from Ensembl. Lineage: Eukaryota; Metazoa; Chordata; Actinopteri; Salmoniformes; Salmonidae.